Cyprinus carpio carpio is the source of this 21363-nucleotide long non-coding RNA. The record is from Ensembl. Lineage: Eukaryota; Metazoa; Chordata; Actinopteri; Cypriniformes; Cyprinidae.
AAAAAUAUUUUGAAGAAUGUUUCAUAUAAUAAAAUCAAAACAAUAUUCCAAUGACUUUUUUUUUUUUUUUUUGGAUAAAUGUUUUAUAUAUAUUAUGUCCCCUAGAAAGAUGAAAGUCGAGUUUGAAACAACAGCUACGGGUGACUAAAUAAUGAAAGAAUGUUCUUUUCUUUUCUUUUUUUUUUUUUUUGGUGACCUAUCCCUUCAAUUUAUUAGAAACAUGUUUUAUUGAAAGUACAGAGGUUAUCAGCUGGAUUUAACUUAUUUAACAACAGGACUCAGGUAAGCCAGAUUUUUGAUUUUUAUUUUUUUUUUUGGCCGCAUUACAAUGUCUCUGAAAAAGGUUGUUGAUUAGGGUCAUUUAUGUUAACUGUGUGUUGAAACCUAAUGUCAUACCAAUCAUAUAUGCUCUUCCAUCACAGCUGUGUUCUCCUCAAAAGGCUGAAUAACAGGUACUGUAAAAUUUCCUCUGCAAAUAUUUAUAAAGUCUCAUAUCACAGCUUAAAAUUCGGGCAGAGACAUAUUUUCCUAAUAUAUCCAAAUAUUUCCACAGUGUGUAACAUUGAGUCUAUUGGUUUGAGGCUGGGUGGAAUCUAAAAAUGUAAGAAUUGUUGGCCACAUUUCCAAAUCAUUCCUCAGUCACAUACUACAUUUUUGUCUCUUCUCUCUUUGCUUAGUCUGCAAUUUAUGGUCCUUUUUAAGGUUUGGUAAUUCAUAAUUGUUUGACAUUAUUUUCUGUCAUGUUUUAAUUAUGCACUAAAUUGGUAAAGUCUCUUUCCAGUCUGGAAUGAAUGAAGUUGCAUUGAAUUUGUAUACUUUUUUCCCUUCGCUUGUACAUUAUAAGCCACCAGCAGAUGGGUCUCAUUAUCAAGGGUCACACAAAAUCCUAAUUAGAUCAUCAAAAGGUGAUAAUUGUUCUUUAUAUAGUGCCAAAAAAAUAUUUUGUCUAAAUCAUACAGAUGCUCCAGUUGACACGUUUACGCUGGGAAUCUUUUAGCUAAUAGCGCAGCCAAUAGUUUAUUCAAGCAGGGUUUUUCUUAUUAUAUUAAAACCAACAUUUUAAAUAAUGGUGAUUAAUAUCACAAUAGCAGCAGUAUUCUGACUCGUCUCACCAUUUCGUUUGAUAAAAUAACCAUCAGGUCAAUCCUUCACAUGCUAACACACUCAAAUAGAGUUUUACGGUUGCACACUCAUUGCAGGCUGUAAUACCUUGCUCUGCAUUAACCUUUUACAGUGAUAUUUAAUUAAAGGUUUAAAGGGCACCCAACACCUGCACCAUGCUCUGAAUGCAGCCUCCGCCACUAAGUGACGGCACGACGGAGGAGUGUGGCAAUUAGCAUGACCUUAAAACAGGCACGGACGCUCUCUUGCCCAUGCUGUGCAGAGCCUUGCCUGCCCCAUGGCAUGCUGGGGCAAUCGAGAUGGCCCCCAAGCUGACAUGCUCCCCUGCAAAAGUGAGUGGAACCAGCCCAGAGGUCACUAGGGCAGCUCAGGACCUCUGGGAGGAGGUGGGAGAGCCCUAGACUUAAAAUUAACACCACUUGAAUUCAUCUGUGAGGUAAAUCUAGCAGUGAGGGUCAUGUAGGUCUAUCGCAGUUAAUAAAUGCUGUCUUAAGAUGACAAUGAGAGGCCAAAUCAGGCUAGUUUGGGCUGGCUUUUUUGUCAUCAUUUACUCACCCUCAAGUUGUUUUAAACCUGUAUGACUUUAGUUCUAUUGUGGAAAACAAAGACAUUUUUUGCCCAUACAAAUCUUUUUUUUUUCUUUCAACCUCGUUGAUUCUUAUUGUAAUGGCAAAAGAAAUGAAAUAUUCCACAGAAUUUUCUUUUUUUUCCACAGAGGGAAGAAAGUUUGGAAUGAAUGGAAUGGAAUUGGGAGGGUGAGUAUAUGAUGACAGGAUUUUCAUUUUUGGGUGAACUAUACCUUUAUUUCUUGAAAAAAUAUUUCCAAGAAAUAUAUGUGAAAAAUUGGACAGUCCAGUGAGUCAAAUUGUUUCUUGACCUGGCAACAUUUUCACUGGCCCUGCCACAAAAAGUUGCUGUUCUUACUGUUUUGUGUUAUCUUAUAUUCUAAUAGAUAAGCUUAUAUGACACCAACAUUUUAGACACCAAUUCAAUUUUACAAUUCAUGUUUCCAAUUUCGAUACUACAGCAAAAACUACUAGCCUAACAAAUAUACAGUUUAAACAUUAGUAAAGACAACUGAACAGCCAGUAAAUGACAAAUGAACAAAAUACAACAAUAGCACAAUUAAAUACAUAGAACAAAGAUACAAAUUAAACAGUGCUUAGGUCUUUGGGCUUGUAGGUGUUUGGAUACAGAAACUGAAUAAUCAGAUGUAAAAUAACAUUGCAUAUUUUUCACUCAAUGAUGCAAUAUUGAUUUUUCAUGGCUGAUUCAAUUUUUUUCUUUUUUUUUAUUACAAAUUGCCCGAUUAAUUUUUUUUAAAUAUUAAUUUUAUUUUUAUUAAGCAAGAAACAAGAAAGAAUGAAAAUGUCUGAGAAAAUGAAAGAGGCAAUCAUUGCAUUUUAGUCACGAAUGCUACACGCAUGUAACGUGCAAUUUUUGAUUCAGAUUAAUUUGUAUAAUUUGAAAAUUUUAAGCAAAAACAGAAUGGUCUGACUUUAGAAAUUGUACAACCUAAAAUAUAUCUGGAUGAAAUAAAAACAGCAGAUGGGCUGAAUGAGAACGCAAAUUCACUCUGACAGCAGGUGCCCCUUCUGGAACAGCAGCAAUACUGCGUUUCCUUGGUUACUGCUGUGAACAAAGCAGCCCUGCACUUAUAAAUACUACUCACUAUGCAUUACAGAUUCAAGAUGAAAAGAAAGCGCCAUGUAAACUUUUUUGAAGACAUUCUGCUCCCCUCAGAGACAUAUUCAUAUAAACCCACACCCACAAUUCAAUAAGAUUUUCUUCCAAAAUUGUAUUUCCAAUAUACUGUGCUCAUGCCUCCUACAGUAUUUUCUCCUCUUUGCGUCCAUCUUCAGCAUCUCUGGUCUCUGUUAACGGCCCUUUACACACUUCAGAAUAUCUCCACACAAAUGACAUUUUGGAAAAUGAUUGCAAUGCAAUUUUUGUGCAAGCCCGGAACAGUAAUCUGAAAUAAAACAAAAAAUGGCUGGCCGACCUGUGAAUCUAUAUAUAUUAAAAUAAUAAUAAUAAUAAUAAAAAAUUAAUAAAUAAACUACACUGUAUUAAUGAAAUAUUGAUUAAUCAUUGUUAAAGCUACAAAGUUGCUUGCCAAGGCCAGGAUUAUGACAUAUUUUUGUAUGUAUUUUUCUGUUCAAGCACAAGAAUGUGCACGCUGCAUUCUUGCUUGAAUGCUUUAAAAUCGCUUGAAUUUUUUUAAUUAGCAAGGCUUAAAACACAUGAAAAUGAUAAACUUUCGUGACGAUGCAGCAGUGGCGUAAUCCCAAGCGUCUUUCACACUGGUCCCGGGCCAUUGGCAUUCCUUAUUGCCCUGCAGUCAUUGAAUCGUAGUGCAUAAAUUAAGUGGAAUAUACUGCUACUGCUGGUUUGACAUUCACGCAAAAGCAUCCCCCUCAUACACACUCACACACAUCUGCCCCCACCUUCCACUGCAACCCCCUGCCAGGUCAGGAGCUCUGGUAGACCCUGGGCUAGCCCAGCCAGGGGAUCAUGCUGUGCUAAUAUUUCUGUUAGCUUGAAUGGCUCACUGACAUGUUUAUUUGGAUUAGCAAGUUGUUUUCAUCAAAAUCAAUACAUGGCACAGGAAUGGGAAAGCAAUGAUUGUAAUGCAAGGCUUAGCAUCGGGAUAACACACCAAUCUGUCUUGACAUGAAGAGGAUGUGUUGACAUUGGUGUGGUGGAGCGGAUAGCUUAAGAGCAGGUGAAGGCGAAUGGAGAGAGAAAGAAGGUGGUUUGCCGCUCUUUCAAGCGGACAUCUAAUCUGCGAAAGAUAGAUGUCUAUAUAACUCGUGGCUCUAGAGUCUAGACUAAAUAUAUAGAUAAAGAUGACAUAGAUAGAUAUAUGACACUGAUUCAAACCGCUUUCUCACAAGUUAGAAUAUUUUUCACUGAAAUAAUCUGUUCAUAAGUGUCAUAUGUUUAUUUCUGUGUGCAGGAAACACUGAUGCAAAAGAUGCAGUGACCUAAUAUCAUCUCACAAGAUGAUAUCUGAUGAAACUGCACAUGGAUGUACAAGUUUUCCCAACUGUCACCAAAGUGACUUUUCAGAUAUUGUUUAAAUGUUUAUAUUUUGUUAUAUUUACAAUGAUUUUUGUCACAGCCUAAUGCCCUAACACUAGUCCAACAAUAUUUGUAUUCUAGCACUGCACAGAUUUGUAGGAUUUCAAUCAGAUUCAGUUAAAAUUGGGCUAAAAUUUCCUUUUCCCAUAUGUAAUGAAACUCUGAAUGCCAGAACACCACACAUAUUACAUUUCAAUGUUGAAAUGAAGGAACGCAAAACUCUCUUUCCCCGAGGAACAGGCCUGUUCAGCAAAUCAGUUCGAUACAAAUUAAAACACUGACCAAAAUGACACACACUUUGAUUCAGGCUGGUUGUGAGGAUGUAUGCUAAAAAUUAGAAAGGAAAUGCGUGACGGAAUGGAGUAAGUACCGUUUUAGAAUAACAUGCUUUUAAACAGCUUUCCGCAGAUCACUUAUCAUUUCGCAGCACCUUGGGACAAGCUAAUGAAAUAUAAUCAGAGCUAAAUGGAAGCUAAGUGGAAGGGGAAAAGUUGAAUAUUCACGUUCAUUUGGAUGACAGCUGGGGGAGCCCAGUCAUUCAUCACACAUUGAUAUUCAUUGCAUUCUGUAACCCUCUUCUCCCCUCCUUCCUCCUCUGCCUUGACAAUCAACAGCCUUAGCUCUUUUUGUUUUAAUUUAAUUAAAGAUGUGAUUGCCAGGGUGAAAACUUCAUUUACACACAUGCAGAGGGAAAAAAGAAACAGGAAGGCUCAUAAGGAGAAAAGAAAGAACAAUUAGUCCAAAGGAAAUAAAAAUUUGGUCACAAGGGCACAAAGGUCACAAGGGCACAAAGAGCCAUAAUAGAAACAAAUCUUUUAAAAUGAAGGAAAAACAUGUCACGUUCUUAGAAAUGUCUUAGUUUUCAUGUUGGUUUCAUGUGGUUUUAGGUUCAUUUAUUUAUUUUUUUAAAGAAAUCAAUUUAAUGGCUACUUAACAUUUUUUAACAUUUAAUUUCAAAAUUUUAAAAUUAUGUAAAAACAUAAAAUGUGUAAUGUAAAUUACAAACUCUAUGUCAUCAUGUCUUCCCUUAUUGGGGAGUCACACCAUGACACUUUACAAUCAGGAAUCUUUUAAUGAUUUUUUCUUCUAUAUAUUAUGAAAGCAGAAUAGUUGUAUCCCCGUGACAUUUAGAUUUUAUGCCCACCAAAAAUGAAAAAUUAUUUUUAAUUAAAAAAUUUAGAAAAUGCUCAUCACAGAAGAGGUGUAUUCAAGUCAAUGUAUGUAUGAAAAUAAAUUUUUAAUUAAUAAGCAGUUAAGACAAAGAAUAUUAAGGCUGAUUUAUACGUCUGCAUCGAAACGCCGUAGGUUGUGCGUAGUACGUGCAGGCUAUAGCAUAGCCUGACGUGCACCUCUCCAAAAAUGGCACAGCGUGUAAAAUCUACGCAGACCGCAAGGGCUGUGAUUGGUCUGCUAGUACCCAUCCCUCUGUAUGUAUUUGAGUUUUGUGUGUGUUUUUUGCACUUUGAUAUAUUUUAAUGUUACACCAUCUUAUUUAAAAUAAAACAAAGCAAAGAACAAAAUUUAAAUUUAUGCAUACAGCAGACACUUUUAUCUAAAGCGACUUACAGUGCAUUCAGGCUAUCAAUUUUUACUUAUGUGUUUGUUAAUGCAAUGCUCUACCACUUGAGCUACAGGAGCACUACAAGUGCUAGAAGAACAAGUGCUUGUUCUGCUACAAGCUAGAACAAGUGUCUUAUCAUUUAUUAUAAAACAUAGCAUUACAUCCACUUUGUUGUUCAUGACAUAUAGUUGUUCUGUCAUUAGUGGUCGACUGAUAUUGUUUUUUUGACAGCCGAUGCCGAUAUCUUGGAAAGCAGGGGGGCCGAUAGCCGAUAUAUAUAUUUCUUACAUUUUAAUCAAUAUUUAAGAAAUUUGAAAUCAUUUGACAAUGGAUUAAAAAAUAAAUGUGUAAAAUAAACAUACUUAUACUUUAGAUGACAAAGUACUUUUCACAAAUAAAUAAAUAUUUAAUAAAAAUAUAAUUAAAAAGGAAGUAAACACUGUAACCAACAGGGCACUCAGUAUUCUGGGAAGUUUGUGUGUAUUGGGAAUCAUAUUUUUUAAAAUAAAGCCAGGGUAACACUCAUUUUACAUACAGCACACAGAGAAAAUGACAUGAAUAUGAAAGUGGGCAAAUGCAUAAAGCGCAGCUUUUUGUCACGCCAUUGGCCCAGAACACAAAGAACAUCAAAUUUGGUCCAGUAACCCUGGACCUGCAGUUGUGCUUGAAUUCAGAAGCAUUUUCCAUGCACAACAAAGGUGCAGCAGGUAGGGAAUAAUGAGUUGAUUUGAGAUUCAGUCCUGGUUCUCCUCUCUGCUCAGGCCCCAGGCUUCACCCCCCCCCCCCCCAAUCUCAACUAGCUGUCUUGUAGGAGAGGCUUAUCUUAAGAGAGACCUCUGUGUAGCCAAAGGCUCCUGGCCUGCCCUGAUUAAAGGAGUGCUGCUUUUUACCCAUGCUGAGUCUAGAUCAAUGCUGAGAUGCUUUCAGCCUGCCUAUCUGAAUUUCAAUAUUUUCAUAUCUUAGUUCUUGACUUGUUGCACUGUUAGAUCAUUAUUAGGGGAGCUGGCCCUACUCAAGCUGUCUGUCAUUAAGCAAAUGAAGCUGGCCUGGUGAGGAUGAGUGGCGUCUUGUUCUCUUUUAUUUUUUAACAGGGCACUAAAGAGCUCUGUCAUCUUUAUCUUUUAUCUCAGAGCUCACCGUUUCUUCUUUUUACCAAUGACCUGCAGAUGUGGCAUCCCUUUCUAUAGCAGCCAUAUUAUUUGUAUGCUUUCCCAUGAGUCCUUCUGUUUAAUGGUUAGCUGUGGCUAUGCCCAAUAAACUGCAUACUCAAUCUAAGCAUUGUUUUAGGGUUGUUUUGGAAAGAGACAGAGACAAGUACAUUCCAACUCAAACAUGUAUUUUUGUGUUAAUGAAGUCAACAGCUUGAUUGUAAUGACAACUGUUCAAAUCAAAUACAAGGUCACAUGUUUGUUAAACAUACUAAAGAGUAAAAUAUUUUAUGCAGAUGUAGUCUUGUUCAGAUUACAAGCACUAUAUGGUGGUAAAACUAUCCAAGGCUUGCCUCCAAAUGUUAGGUAACAGGUUGGGAACCACAAACUAGUGGUUUAGGCCAAUUUACAUCUAGUAUUAACAUCCAUCUUGAGUGAUCCAAUCUCAAGUUGUCAGCGUUAAUACAGGUGUAAAUAGGGUCCAAACAUUCUUAAUCAGAGUGAAGGACCAGGUCUACUCAUGUAUCAACCAAUCACUGUGCUAAAAAAAGUAUUCCAAUUAUGUCUGGCAUCUACAUGUAGAGAUCAUUAAAUUAGUUUGAAUAAAAGCAUUUGCUAAGUGAAUAAAUGCAAAUUUAACUUGUUAGAUAAUAAUAAGUAUUUCACUAAAAACUUUAUAUUUGUGGUGAGAUGAAAAUGUAAGCCGAUUCCAAAAAAAGUUGGGACACUGUACAAAUUUUGAUUAAAAACAGAAUGCAAUGAUGUGGAAGUUUCAAAUUUUCAAUAUUUUAUUCAGAAUACAACAUAAAUUACAUAUCAAAUGUUUAAACUGAGAAAAUGUACCAUUUUAAGGGGAAAAUAAGUUGAUUUUAAAUUUCAUGGCAUCAACACAUCUAAAAAAAGUUGGGACAAGGCCAUGUUUACCACUGUGUGGCAUCCCCUCUUCUUUUUAUAACAGUCUGCAAACGUCUGGGGACUGAGGAGAUAAGUUGCUCAAGUUUAGGAAUAGGAAUGUUGUCCCAUUCUUGUCUAAUACAGGCUUCUAGUUGCUCUACUGUCUUACGUCUUCUUUGUCGCAUCUUCUGCUUUAUGAUGUGCCAAAUGUUUUCUAUGGGUGAAAGAUCUGGACUGCAGGCUGGCCAUUUCAGUACCCGGAUCCUUUUUCUACGCAGUCAUGUUGGAAAAUGCAAGGUCUUCCCUGAAAGAGAUGACAUCUGGAUGGGAGCAUAUGUUGUUCUAGAACUUGGAUAUACCUUUCAACAUUGAUGGUGCCUUUCCAGAUGUGUAAGCGGCUCAUGCCACACGCACUCAUGCAACCCCAUACCAUCAGAGAUGCAGAGAAAACACCAGCACUUCUGGAUCAUGUUUAGAUAUGGCUUCUUUUUUGACCUAUAGAGUUUUAGCCGGCAACGGUGAAUGGCACGGUGGAUUGUGUUCACCACAAUGUUUUCUGGAAGUAUUCCUGAGCCCAUGUUGUGAUUUCCAUUACAGUAGCAUUUCUGUAUGUGAUGCAGUGCCGUCUAAGGGCCCGAAGAUCACGGGAAUCCGGUAUGGUUUUCCGGCCUUGACCCUUACGCACAGAGAUUGUUCCAGAUUCUCUGAAUCUUUGGAUGAUAUUAUGCACUGUAGAUGAUGAUAACUUCAAACUCUUUGCAAAUUUUCUCUGAGAAACUCCCUUCUGAUAUUGCUCCACUAUUUUUCGCCGCAGCAUUGGGGGCAUUGGUGAUCCUCUGCCCAUCUUGACUUUUGAGCGACACUGCCACUCUGAGAGGCUCUUUUUUUUAUACACAAUCAUGUUGCCAGUUGACCUAAUAAGUUGCAAAUUGGUCCUCCAGCUGUUCCUUAUAUGUACAUUUAACUUUUCCGGCCUCUUAUUGCUACCUGUCCCAACUUUUUUGGAAUGUGUAGCUCUCAUGAAAUCCAAAAUGAGCCAAUAUUUGGCAUGACAUUUCAAAAUGUCUCACUUUCAACAUUUCAUAUGUUAUCUAUAUUCUAUUGUGAAUAAAAUACAAGUUUAUGAGAUUUGUAAAUUAUUCCAUUCCUUUUUUACUCACAAUUUGUACAGUGUCCCAACUUUUUUGGAAUCGGGUUUGUAAGUUAUAUUUGGGAGCAACAGGAGGUGAGAGACAACAACUGAUGCAAUAUCUGAUUGAUCUGGAUUUUAACCUGUGACAUCCUGCCUUUUUCAUUAUCCAAUGAAACCACACAAAAUCCUUGAAAGAUAUGCUGUGGAAUUCAUAAGUAGCCAAAACCAUUAACAAAAAUAAACUUAGAAACAAAGUUACUUGGUAGGAAAAUGUAUUUACCUGCAAUACAGGGGUGUUAAUGUUCUGCACAUGCAAGUGUUGAAUCUUCUUUGACACUUCAUACAUUUAUUUCAAUCAGUUUAUUUCUAAUAUCCAGUACAUCCUGCUACUGCUUUGUCUUGUGUCUGCAAAAUUAUCGCAUAAGACAGUUUUAUGUGAUAGAGACUAAAGCAAGGGUGUCAAACUCAGUUCCUGGAAGGCCACAGCCCUGCAGAGUUUUGUUCCAAUCCCGUUCCAACACACAUACCAUGUAGUUUUCAAAUAAGCCUGAAGGACUUGAUAAGUUGGAUCAGGUGUGUUUAAUUGGGGUUGAAUCUAAACUCUGCGUGGCUGUAGUCCUCCAGAAACUGAGUUUGAUAUCCCUGGACUAUAGGUUUCAGUUCGUCAGCGAACGAUUCCAAUGAUAUAGACUGAAUCGCGAGCCUAUUCAGAUUAUGCGUUAAAUGGUAUUCACAAUUUGACACAGAGUGAUUCUUUAACAAAUCGGGCAUCGCCAGUUCUGAUUUUAAACAGUAAACAAAAGGGAUAAUUAUAUUGUGGAAAAAUAUUAACAGGUCAGUUGGUUUAUAUAGGCUACCCUCAGCACACAAGGAUUUAACAGACAAGGAUUCUGCUCUUAAUUUAGAAAUAGCGAUCUGAGUAGACAAUGAAGGCAUUUGCACUAUCAGUGGCAUUAUCUCAGGUCUGGAGAGGUGUUAGCUCUCUGAAGCCAAGCGUUCCUUGGAUCAAAUAACAUUUCUGGAGCAUAGAAUAGCAUACAUGUUAAAAUAAUCAGGGUCAAGCCAAUGACCUUAGUUGGCUCUGUUUUUGCCCAGUUCUACAAGUUUGAGAUUAGCAUUGUGGCAAAUGUAUUAAAUGAGGCAAGCACAGCUUUUGAAAGUGGAUUUGUGAGUACAAUGGAAAGAAUUUCAAUAUGGAAAGUCUCUGGCUUAAAAAAAAAUUAAUAAUAAUAAUAAUAUGAAAGAACUUUCCCCAAAGGCUUGGCAGUUACAAAACGACUGCUAGAUAUUGUCUGCCCCAAACUAUUGAGUCUGAUCCAUUAGCUUAAUUAGGUUUAUGUAAGUACUCUUUAUUGCAUUAGUAUUAGAAUGCAUGCUUUUGACUUUUUUGGUUACUGCAUACUUUAGAUUGUUCUGUCAAGUGUAAGAUUGCUGUAAAACAGAUCUUAUCUAAUUGAGGUUUUUGCCGAGGUGCAAAAUUUUCAUUGCUGUGUCUGUCUGAAUAGCCUAAACUUUGACACGUGUAUGUUUUUCUAGUUAAAAUUGCAGUUUUACAUCCUAUUUGCUACCUCAGUUCAAAUUCAAGGCAUUCUCAAUUUAAUUCUGAAUGGUGCACAACCCUGAUGGAGACACCUGUACAUCUGCAGCUGCAGUCUUUGGCCAAUGGCCCGACAUCUUGGUUAAUUUGGUCUGGCUUCCCACGUCUUAACUACUGUAAGUGUGCCAUCCCACCUCCCAGCAGUCUAAAGAAAACUCAGGUCAAGCCCUUAGCAGUUUAGUAGUGGAAAUCCUCACCGCUGCUCUUGACAUGUUAAAAAGGCCAUUUUCAUCUAUUGUCCAAAGAAAGGCAGGAGGAAAGGACUCUCUGUAGCUGUAAAUAACUGUAAACAUCCAGGUAAUAGAGGCUGUUUUGUGUUUCCUGGCCAUGAUUGUUACCUUGUUAUCUCUGGCUUUUAUGUUAAUAAUCAGACAUACCUUUUUGUAUGCGCAGUUGCUUUUUUGUUGAGCUUGUUGAAAAAGGGGUGAAUCUCCAAAAAAAGGGGAGGGGUAUCUUUGCCCCUGUUACCUAAGGGGAUUUUACCCCACCCUGCCCAAUUUUCACCUACCUCUGUUUACUUGCAGUCCUCUCCGUAUGUCACAACAUUUACAUGUCUUUCCUUUUGCUUCAAUUUGUAUGUGUUAGAUGAGGAAAAAAAAAACCUAAUAGAAGUGCAGUCCCCCUGCAACCACUAAAACCCCUCCGCUGGCCAGCCAAUGGCCAUUCACGGCAGAACAAACAAAAAUCAAAUGGGAGCUAUGCUUUUAGCUUUUAAUUCUAGCUCCAAAAGUUUCCAGCUGCUUCCAUAAUUAUUACCUUUUAAAGAGUAGGAAAAUGGCGAGUUAAUUCACAUGGUGGCUUUCUCUAUCUUUUUGUCUCUUUCUCCCUUACUCCCUGCCUCAUUCUCUCCUUCCUCCACUCUCCACCCCAAACCACAACAGGUAAGCUCUACUGUUAAAUGAAGGUCUUUUUUAGUUGUAAUUUGGUUUGAAAAUCCUCUGGCCUGCCCAGAUUAUUCUUAGUUGGGUCUCUGUUUCCUGUCAGUAUGAAGGAGGUGCACCUUGUGCACAGGGAGAGGAACAAUACGGCCUUGUCCCAGGUUCCUCUGACCCCCUGCGCUGCCUGUCAGUCUGCAAUUAUCAUGCAAGGCCCCCUCUAGAAACAAAAGGCCUUGAUGGGCUUUGUGGCCCAACAGGACCCCAGCAUUGUUAUUGAGUCCCUUGUGAGUAUUUGCUCUUGAGCCUGUUUCUCAAUCUGUAAGACCUUGAUGCCGAUGGUUUUGUUAAUCUGAGGAAUAGCACUUAAGUAGGUGAUCUGCUUCGAGUUGUGCCACCAUGUGGGGUUGAUUUUGAUCAAAACUGAUAAAAAGCCACCGUAAAAAUAUGCUGAAUUAAUGAAGUUGGCGUAUGCUUCAGCUAGAUGGUGUGUAUCUGUAAUGUCCUGUAAUUGUAUUAGUUUGCUUACUAUAUAUCAGUGUGUAUUUAAGGGGUUUGGGGUCAGUACAUGUACACGGGGAGACAUAGACCUGCAGUAUUGUUAAAGCAUGGGUGAUGGAUGGCUGUGGUUGCACAUGAUCCCGGCCCCUGCUGGAGAGGGCACAAAACAACUCGGCUUCAUAUUGUCCUUGUUCUGUGUGACAAUGGGCCACUUGUGGGUCUGACACUCAUCACCUGUUAGUCAGCUUCAUUCGUAUGAAAAUACUACCCUGCCACAGUUCCAGCACUGUAGGUGCUUUUCCCUCCAGGCCUGUAUGUUUAUUUAGACAAUGGUGGCCAUCACUAAGUGACAUUUGUAAUUGAGAGCUUUUCAUAUCAUGCAGAGGUGGAUGUCUUUCAGAGAUACAACCGCCCACUGGACUUCUGAGGUUAUAGGCAAACUGAAUGUUACUUGAUGAGUUUCACUUAUCAUCUAAUUUUGUAGAAUAUUAUAGAAUAUCAUUAUGUGUAAAGCCAAAAAUACACCAUAACAUUAAUAAAAUAAAUACAAUAAUACACACACACACACACACACACACACACACACACACACACACACACACACACACACACACACACACACACAUAUAUUUGUUUACUUAUUUUAUUAAUGCUAAAAAAAUUUAGUUUGAACAACUGUACCUACAAAACAUCAUAAUAAUUACAUUAUUAUUUGUAUUAUUAUUAGCAAUAACAAUAAUAUAAAAAAUGACAAAUUUAUAAAAAUAAUUAUUGUCACUUUAACAAUAACACAUUAAUAAUAAUAAUAAUUUAAUAUUUUUGACAAAUUACUAUUUAUUAUUAUUUUUUUUUUUUAUUGCAUUUAUUUCUGGUCCCAUUAUAUACAUGAUUUUAAUCUGGAUUUUUCAUUUCCACAAACAAAACUGCCACCACCCUAACUCAAGUUAAUUUAUAUGCUUUCAGAAACAAUAUAUUCAAAGAAAACGUAUCAUAAUGUUUUAACUGUGUAAAUCCAUACAAUAACGAUAUCUGGUAUUAUCUCCCAGGUUUCCAAGGUGUCUGAAAGUCUUGCAUGUGACUUUCAUAAAAGCAAACAUCUGCUUGUAAUAGUGGUCCUGCUAUAGCGAGGCUGAGAGGAGUUGACUGAGGAUGGCGGAGGUGACUGACAGCAUCCCUGGCCCUGUUGUGCCUGGCAGAUGUGGAGGUGUCACAAUAGUGAUGAAUUGUUUACACUCACCUGUCUGCCAUGUCCUUCAGCGUCAGGGGGAUAGGCCCGGGCGACGGGUAAGGGGUGGCAGCACUGCCACAGGGUCAACAAUAUCUUCAGGUGCGUGUAUGAACAACUGCGACAAACGUGUCAAACAUGGAUGUUCACACAGCAACAUUCACAGGUGUGGGGAUUUUCAGCGAGGGCAGGUUUUUGCCAUGUUUUGUAUAUAUGCUUGGAGUGUGUCUGUUUCGACUCUGUGUUGCCGGUAGCCACUGAAUGGCUCGUGUCCUACGGCGUAAUUAAAUUCUUUUGUGAGGACGGAAGUGUUUUUGCAAAUGGCGUGAAUUUUGCACAACUUUUCUUGUUCCUGCUGAGAAAAUUAGCAUGUUAAUAAGCACGUUGUUUACUCAAAAAUGUGUGGGAGAUUUUUCUCUUAUUUCUCUCUCCUCAUGCAAUAUUUAAAAAUAAAUGGCAAAAAGAGGAAAUAAAAUAUUCAGCUAUGAUUUCAUGACAGCUAGCAAGCACCAUUUUGAAUGGACCAAACCCACAGUGUGUUCCUCCACGCCAGAGUGACUAAACAAAGCCGUUACGCUGUCCAGUAUAAGCAUGCAUCCAUGAGUAAUACAGUAAUAUACCAAGACAAAAACAGAACAACAAUGUUCAGUUUGACUGACAGCUCAGUUAAGAUGAUGUCUGCUUGAUUAGAAUCUCUCCCAAAUCCAUAUUUUCUUGAUUCUGGUAUAUCAUAUCACGACGGCCCGAUCAUACCACGAGAGAUGACAACCAUCAUGUUUUAAUCCACUGCAUCGCUCCAGAGUCAUACACUAUUCCAUUUUAACUGCUUCUGCCUGGGCUAUUCUCCCCAUUGUUGAUUUAUUCAUUAUUAACAACCGUUCCCCCCUUUUAGAUCAAUGUUGCAAAGCGGCCCCCUAAAAAUGUGGACGGGAGUUCUCUUCAAAGUAGCCAUGCUCGAGUAUUCAGCCAUCUGUGCUCAGACGCACAGCAGUAUCUGCAUUAAAUAGCCCCCUUAGUAACAAGCCACGGAAAAGCUAUCUGCUCCAUGAUACGUUCAAACCUCAUUGACUGUGAAGGGAGACGCAUCAAAACUGUUCUGUGUUGCUAUGGCAAUGGAGACCUCAAUAAGUUAAUCUUUGCCAUUUCUUCCUCCUUUUUUUGUGCCCAACUCAGUGGUAGUCAAAUGUUUGUGUGUGUGUGUGUGUGUGUGUGUGUGUGUGUGUUUUGCACUAUUCAGAGGGCUUGUGCCCCCCCCCCCACGUCAGUAGUUUUGUCACGAGUCAAUGUAGAUGGUUCUUCGUAGCAAUUAGCAUCUAAAAACGGGUGAAAAUACAUAUAGUACUUGUGUUUUAAAAUACUGUACAUUUUAAGCCUUACAAUCAUGCUGGUUUACUUCAUUCCACAUGUAAUAGUGGACUGCUUCUUGUAGUACUGUAAAUAGCAUAUUUGAGUAAAAUGCAGUGUGGGAAUACAAAUGUGGCCGUGUAUUUGAAUGAAGUAUGGCUGAGUUUGGUCAGAUGCGCUUCGAGGAAAGUUUCCUUUGAUCCGAACACUACCAGGGUGAAGUCGUGAAUGGAUGUACACUCUAGGAAUAUCAAUGCAGCGCUAGUCGUCUCCACUUCUGACCGCCUGCUAGCAUGUGCUAAUUCACAACGUAGCUCAGAAAACUGGGUAUUUGAAAACCUGAGCCUUAAAUUUCACAUUUCAUCCUUUUCAAAAUCCUCACCUUUAUAUUCAAAUGCCAUCUGACCGCUGACAGUGAUGAGGCCAUGAUUUUAAAUAAUAUCGUGCUAAUGCACGUCUCGUGAAAGCUUGGAUUUAUUGCUUUUCUAAUCAUUCCGAGUGUUGUUAGCUGUCGUGAUGUGUUGCGGCCUCUGUUGAACACAGCUGCGCUAAUGUAAUUCUGCUGAGAUGAAAGGGACCGGCUGGGUUGUGUGGUUUACUGUUGCUGUGAAACAUGGACAGAACGCAGCCAAUUAGAUCUGCUAAAGUGACACGAUCAAGCAGAAAUACUGUGUGUGGCUUUUUUAAUGGCUGAAGUCGGCUCUGCCGGAUCACUUUAAUGGCUGCCAUAUGCCAUGUUUGGUUUGGCUGGUUUCCCGCAAGAUGUUGUGCUUGUGUUUUGCGGCUUUUAAGAUUGUCAAGAUUUCUCUCAUGUCAUGUUUAAUGUUCCUCACUGCUGUUUGUGAAUGUGGACGGACACCUCGCGAGUCAUUUUGACAAUGCAACAGCCUUGAAUGGGCCGUUUCUUAAAAUUAAAGACUUUCAGCAGUGAAACAAAACAGCAUGUACAUUUCAGAGAGUUUCCACUAUUGUUAUUUAUUAUAAACAUCAGAAUUUUUAUUUUUAGGUGAACCAUCCCUUUAAAUCCUUUAAGAAACAGCAAAAAAGUUGUGCUCAAAAGGGUCACCGCCUCUCAAAUGUGUGUGUAUAUGUUUUGUAGAAUUAGAGCAAAGACCCACAUUCGAAACAUAAGUGCCAGGUAAAUGCAUUCGAUAUUAUGGCCCUUGUCUUUGGUGGGUGGGGGCUCUUCAGCCCUCUUGCCCCUUUGUGCCCUAUUUAAAAGGGUUUGUCAUGAAUGUGAGAGAGCCUCUUUUCCCCUACUGCUCUCCCCUGGAAAUGGAGAUGUAAUGACAUUUGCAGUUAAAAGGAACUCAUUCACAGUUUGUACAGUUUAAGAAUUCAAAUGAAGUGUUUUCUCAUGCUGUAUUGCCUGAAGGAACAGGCGAGAGAGGAAAGCAGAUUUCUGAGGAUUAGUUCUCCUGGUUCCCUUUAUUAUGUUAAGAGUCUGUAGUAAAUGGUGAUGGAGGGAAAAGUGAGGUAAAGUAAAGGUUGUGUGUAGGGGGGGGGGGGCAAGUAAACUCCUCUGCAGGGCCUCAAUGGCAUGAUAACAGUGACAUUGGACACAGUUUACACACACACAUACAGACACUGACAAACAAAUGUCAGAGUGUGCUGCAAUGAGUUUGUUCACGGCCAUUGGCAGUGAAACACCUGUUUUCAGCGGAAGAACAACUCCUGUCACCCCCUCCAGCCCUUGGUUUGUUUUUGGUAAAUAGAGACCUGUGAAGGGAAAGUGAGUGACAUUUAGGAGAGCUUGAACUUUAAUUGUGCUUAAUUUGUAAGAUGUCACAACAGAGAUCACAGUUGGCUUAAGUCUGCACUGUUAACCUGGGUAGCAGAAUAUAUACAUACAUAUAUAUGUAUAUAUUAUCUCUCUUCGAGAAGAACACUAAUUAUCUGGUUAUUUUAUCUCUUAUUAUUAAUUUGUUAAUAUUAACUUGGUUAAUAUUUUGUAAAAGUUAUUGUUUAAAAUAUUACUUUAUGUAUGUUUUUAUAUUAUAAAAAUGUUUAAAUAUAAUAUUUUAUAUAAGUUAAUUAACAAAAUAUUAAAUUAAUAAUUAUAAUAAUAAUGAUUAAAUAUUGAUCAUAUUUUACAAAAUAUUAUGUGGUCUAUUCAUUUGAGAUGAGAAUGUGUUAUAAUAUUUGUGUGUUAUACUAAUCAUUAAAGUUCUGAAAUUACUUCAGUAGUCAAUAAAUAAAUUAAUUAAUAAAAAACAAACUCUCUCUCUCUCUCUCUCUCACACACACACACACACACACACACACACAAAAUUCUGGUAUUCCUUUAAUUUUGUAAUUUGGUCAUAUUUUAAUGGCAGUUUUUUAUAUCUACAGAACAACUUCCUCUCAAUCAGUAUGACUUCCGAAAUGCAGUGGGAAUGUCUGAGUGCAGAAUCAACCAAUCAGAAAUUUGCAAAAAGGUAUUAUGUUCCCUUCAGUUUCAUGCAGCAUGCAGAUCAUGUUUCCACAAGGCCUGCAUCUUGUUGUUCCGCCCUGCCUUCCCACUGAUCUCUGGGUUUUUUUAAGGUGUCAGGCUGUAAUUAACCAUUCCCUUUGCUACCACAGUGUUACCUGAGCUGUUCUCCAAGCUAGAUGGGCCCAGAGAUCUGCCGCACUACCCACAACACUGUUUUCAUCGAAUAUCUCCAACUUUGUUCACAUGAAGAUUACCUGCUCUGAAGAAAAUGGAUAAGAAUGAUCAUAUAUAGCUGCUUUUUUGCCCACCUACACUGUCUAUCUCUUAAACACGCCUAUUUACAUGAGAGUGAACAUAGCUUCUGCCUGAUAUGCUUGAGCUGUAAAGGUAAAGCCUUUAUUAUCUCGGCAGGCAGCAGAAGGUGUCAUCUUCAUUGGACCUGACACACAUGCUACUCAAACCAUGGGAGACAAGAUCAGAGGCAAAUUAAUCGCCAAGAUGCCAAGAAGACAGCAAUACAGGAUGAAGUUUAUUUACAUCGCUGUCAACUGUUCCCUGCAUAGCAACAAAGCCAAUGAUUUCCACAUAAGAGCAGUAGGGAGACUCGGGUAGACAGCCCCUCCAGAGCCCGCUGAAGUGAAGCAUUAGUUGGUGAAACAGUAAGGAUGGUCCUGAUGAUACCCGUUUAGCAGUGGCUGACAUGAGUAGAGGUCUAUCAAGGAGGUCUGUUAAGCUAAUGGCGAGACAGAAACCCAUAUGGGAGGCCUUUUCCUAUGGAUACAGCUGCUGCGUUCCAGCUCUGUAGCUCUACGUUUGUGGGUUCAAUUAACUCAUACUGAUGCUUGCUUAAUUCAAUCUCCUGUUAGAAAUGUUUCAGUGUGCCAACAUAAUAACUGUAAUCACCUUGUCAUCAAGUCCCAUUGAACUCAAUCAUCCGCCUCUGAAAUGCAUUAUUCCCGUGUUUGACAGCCUACAGAGUCUUCAUGUUACUUUGUGUUCAUCUGAUCAUGAUUGAGAGAUUUAAAUGAACUUUUUUUUUAGACCUCUUUGCUGAGGUAGCACGUAUCCCAUGUUAUUUUACAAAUGGUCAGUUGUCAUAAUCUUAAUUUUACUGGCUCAAAGUUUCAAAUUAAGUUGCUCUCUGCUGGUAGGCUUUGCUUUCAGAUGCAUUAAAUUUAUAUGAAUCAACUGUAAAGACAUUUAUAAUGUUGAAAAAUAUUUCUUUAUCAAAUAAAUGCUGUUCUUUUGAACUUUCUAUUCAUCAAAAAUCUUGAAAAAAGGCAUCAUGGUUUCCACAAAAAUAUUAAACAGCACAACUGUUUUCAAAAAUUGAUAAUAAUAAGGAAUGUUUCUUGAGCAGCAUAUUAGAAUGGUUUCUGAAGGAUCAUGUGACACUGAAGACUGGAGUAAUAGCUAAUGGAAAUUCAGCUUUGCUAUCAUAGGAAUAGAUGACAUUUCAAAAUAUAUUAAAAUAGAAAGUUUGUUUGAUGUUUGUUUAUUUAAAAAACAUUAAAAAAAAAUAAUGGGACUCCAAAGUUUUGAACUUCACACAUAUUAAUCAAACUUCACUUGUUCUUGGCUUUGUGUGCUUUGCUUUUAAAAAAAAUGGAGGUGAUGCCUGAUGUGUAUUUAAUUCUUCAAAUAUUCAAUUACACGUUGUGUCAUGUAUAAUAACGGAGCAAGUUAACCUACUGACUGAUGGACACAAUGCUGGAUCUUCUCCUAAUCACUCUUUCGUUCUCUUUAACAGAACCAUGAUGGUACGAUGGCUCUGACAUUCUGUUCAUACCCCCAUCCAUUGAUUGUCUGCACCAUAAGCCCCAAGAGGGAGCUUAUUUGGGCCUGGCUGCAGCAUGCGGGUGUGUUAGGGAGCACAGGGUGGUCCCAUGGACCAGAGAGGGCAGCUAACUGGAGUAAACAGGACUCAGCAGGCUUAGUGUUUGUGUUUACUCUGCUGGAGAGGAGGCCAUUAGAGCAAACAGCCAGCGUUUCUUCACAUGUUGCUGAAAAUCACCCCAACCUUCAUUCACUCCUGUUUGGCACUACUAACACCCAGCCAGUGUGCCCAGAUGGCCCUGCUUUCCAGAUCUCUCACUGUUUCUGCCCUCUCUCCCCUCCCUCAAUGUGCCGUGGCGUCAUUAAAAGUGUCUGUGAGCGGGAGGUGUAAAAAAGGGUGCCGAGAGAGGAAGCAGAAAACAAUUUAGUGGCAUUUAAAAAUAAAGUCCUCCCCCUAUUUACAUGGCCUAUCUAAUCCAAUCUAGGCUGUGUCUGCAUUUUUAAUUUGCACAUUCAAGCAAGCUUCAGAGAGGAACCUAGGCUUAAUUAGUUUAGUUAUCUCCCCUCAUGAAUGGAUAAAGUUCCCACACUGCUGGUGUUUCAGAUGAAGCCUAAUUGGAUUUCGAGGCCAAAAACAAAAGGAGUAAUAAAAGAAAUGAGGGUUAGAUAACAGAGGAAGAUUGAAUUGAUAAAGUGAAAGGGGAAUGAACUGUAGUCACAGCUGAGGAGAGAGACAAGAUGCGGUCGAGAUCCUCGUUUGAGGUCAAAAUCAGUGUAUUAGGGCCAAUGACAUAUGAAGAAAAAUCUUUUUAAAGAAUGAAAAAAAAAUGAAUUGGAAACUCUUAGAAAUGUACUCUUUUCUUAUUAGUUUCAUGUGGUAUAACCAAGUACAAACACUGUGAAGAUGUGCAAAAUAUCUUCUCAAAUAUAUAUGAGUAAUCUUAAUCAUUAUUUCCAAACAAAGUUAGUAUAUAAUAUUAUGUUUAAUAAGUUCAAUAUGUUAUAUUUAACAUAUAAAGUAUUUUUGAAUUUAAAAUUCAUAAAUAUUUAAAUUUUUGGAUAAUCUCCCUGCAUGAUAUUGUACACUUGAUCUCACACUACCUUUCUAAUAUUUAAUCAUAAAUUACUUGUAUAAAUAUUUUAGUUUUUCUUAUUUUUCUGAAUUUUUGUCUUUUAAUUGGCCUUUAUCUUCAUUAUAUCAGGACAGUUGUAUGUGAUGUUUUCUAUGUUUUAUAUAUUACUGAAACAUUUUGCAUUUUAAAUGACACAAAAUUUACAACACCCCCUCAAGACCCCUCCAGGGGUUUCAGUGCAAUUUGCCAGAAAUGGCGCAUUUGAAUAUAAAAUCCAGGCCUCAAGAAAAGUAAGCCCACAUUCGGUUUUAAAUCUCAACCAGUCUUUGCCAGUAUACCGUAAUAAUACAGUUUCGUUCAGCUAGAGCAAAAGUGUCAGCAUGUUUAAAAAUCAUCAUUCUUAAAGAGACAACUGAGCCUGAGUAAAUCAAUUAUUGAACAUUACCCUUCAUUGUGAUAUCUGAUUCGAACAAGGUCAAGGGAAUUAUUAAUAACCUUCUGUUCUCUUUCACAGACACGUUUACAAAUUAGCACUUCUCACAGGCCUGGGACCUGCUUUAUGAAGCCGAGUUUUCGGAGCAGCCUGGAAGUGUGAAAGAGUUCCAGAGGGCAGAGCAUUUGGAGAAGUCUAGAUAAUGAGAGUCUUUUGUUAAUGCCAUUGAUCUCGAUUCAAUUAGUGAAAAGGGCCCAUGUUUGUGACUACUGUGUGCACAGCAUAUGUGUGUUUCUGUAUGUAAUUGACUUUGUAAGUCCUCAAAGAGUAAACUUGUAGCAGUUUCAAACAUUCAAUGUUAUUGUCAAGCACAAAUGAACAGCCAAGUAUGUGUGUCUUUUUUCUGUUUCUGAUUUUUUUUUUUUUUCUUUUUUUUCUUUAGCCAACUGAGCUGGUUUGGGGCUGAUCUUGUGUGAUGUAUAGAUUAAUUAAAUAAGCAUAUUGAUUCCUGUUCUGGCAACACAGAGUGUGGGGUUUUAAUUAGCCCACGCUUGAGUGUGUUAAAAUUCCUGUCUUAUCUGUGUGGAACCAAGUGGAACUAAAAACUGAAUGCAUGAGGGCUGCUCAUCAACUCAAAAUCUCCAAUAACCUUUUUUUCCCCCUUGUUUGUUUUAGUCCAACCCAAACCUCAAACUUUAUUGUAAGUGUAUGAUUUAUAUGCCAACAUUUUCAUUCCCAAUAUUAAUUUUUUUAUCUCCAAGGAAUACAAAAUAGUUAAGUAAAUAAUACAUAUAUAAAACAAACAAUUAUGUAUGUAUGUGUGUGUAUAUAUAUAUACAAAUAUACAAAGACUGUUUUGAGUGAUUAAUCACUCUGAUGUGGUCUUAAUUUUUAAGUUAUUUCUUUCAAAAAAUCUUAUUUGAAACUAAAAAAUAUACUAAAUAUUUUUCUGAUACAGGUUUUAAAAUAUCAAAGUUUUACUUAUAUUUCCUUGUAGUAUUUUUGGAUAUAUAAAUACAGUGAUCCAUAUGACCAUAAUACGGUGGCCAAGAAAUGCAAAACAGAUUACAAUUCUGAAAACAAAAUAACAAAUUACAAAUGCAAACCUAAAAAACAAAAUAACAAUUCAGAAAACACAACAACAAUUCAGAAAAUAUUAUAACAAGUCAGAAAACACAAUGA